GGAGUGUUUGCAGAGCUGGUGCCUGCCCCGGUCUUCAAAACCGCUGAGACGGCUGCAAAGUCGUCUGGUGGGUUCGAUUCCCAUCCACUCCC
Molecule: transfer RNA, 92 nt
Filed under: Planctomycetota bacterium
Lineage: Bacteria; Pseudomonadati; Planctomycetota
Description: Planctomycetes bacterium tRNA-Sec
Rfam family: Selenocysteine transfer RNA
Source: RNAcentral